AGGCCUUUGGGCUGUAAACCUCUUUUCUCAAGGAAGAAGAUCUGACGGUACUUGAGGAAUAAGCCACGGCUAAUUCCGUGCCAGCAGCCGCGGUAAUACGGGAGUGGCAAGCGUUAUCCGGAAUUAUUGGGCGUAAAGCGUCCGCAGGCGGCCGUUUAAGUCUGUUGUUAAAUCGUGGAGCUCAACUCCAUCACGGCAAUGGAAACUGUUCGGCUUGAGUAUGGUAGGGGCAGAGGGAAUUUCCGGUGUAGCGGUGAAAUGCGUAGAUAUCGGGAAGAACACCAGUGGCGAAAGCGCUCUGCUGGGCCAUUACUGACGCUCAUGGACGAAAGCCAGGGGAGCGAAAGGGAUUAGAUACCCCUGUAGUCCUGGCCGUAAACGAUGAACACUAGAUGUUGGGGGAAUCGACCCCCUCGGUGUCGUAGCUAACGCGUUAAGUGUUCCGCCUGGGGAGUACGCACGCAAGUGUGAAACUCAAAGGAAUUGACGGGGGCCCGCACAAGCGGUGGAGUAUGUGGUUUAAUUCGAUGCAACGCGAAGAACCUUACCAAGGCUUGACAUCCUGCGAAUCUCCGAGAAAUUGGAGAGUGCCUUCGGGAACGCAGUGACAGGUGGUGCAUGGCUGUCGUCAGCUCGUGUCGUGAGAUGUUGGGUUAAGUCCCGCAACGAGCGCAACCCACGUUUUUAGUUGCCAGCAUUCAGUUGGGCACUCUAGAAAGACUGCCGGUGACAAACCGGAGGAAGGUGUGGACGACGUCAAGUCAUCAUGCCCCUUACGCCUUGGGCUACACACGUACUACAAUGCUGCGGACAAAGAGUAGCGAUCUUGCAAAAGUUAGCUAAUCUCGUAAACCGUGGCUCAGUUCAGAUCGUAGGCUGCAACUCGCCUACGUGAAGGAGGAAUCGCUAGUAAUCGCAGGUCAGCAUACUGCGGUGAAUACGUUCCCGG
This 949-nucleotide ribosomal RNA is filed under the name Candidatus Synechococcus spongiarum. RNAcentral's name for it is "bacterial SSU rRNA". It matches the Rfam family "Bacterial small subunit ribosomal RNA", at positions 412 to 1377 of the family's 1533-position model. Lineage: Bacteria; Bacillati; Cyanobacteriota; Cyanophyceae; Synechococcales; Synechococcaceae. The record is from RNAcentral.